UUCUGGUUGAUCCUGCCGAAGGCUACUGCUAUUGGAGUUCGAUUAAGCCAUGCGAGUCUAAGGGAUCUUCGGAUCCCUGGCGUAAUGCUCAGUAACACGUGGAUAAUCUACCCUCAGGUGGGGCAUAAACCCGGGAAACUGGGGCCAAUUCCCCAUAAAUACAGAUGGCUGGAAUGCUUCUGUAUUCAAAGCUCCGGCGCCUGAGGAUGAGUCUGCGGCCUAUCAGGUUGUAGUCAGGGUCAAGACCUGACUAGCCAGCGACGGGUAUGGGGUGUGAGAGCACUUGCCCAGAGAUGGUUUCUGAGACACGAAACCAGGCCCUACGGGGCGCAGCAGGCGCGAAAACUUCGCAAUGCGGGAAACCGUGACGAGGGAACUCCGAGUGUCUAUGCAUUGCAUAGACUGUUUUUUAGCCUAAAUAGCUAUUAGAGUAAGGGGUGGGCAAGACCGGUGCCAGCCGCCGCGGUAACACCGGCACCCCGAGUGGUAGCCACUAUUAUUGGGCCUAAAGCGUUCGUAGCCGGUUUGGUAAAUUCUUGGGUAAAUCGUACCGCUCAACGGUGCGGAUUCCGGGGACACUACCAGACUUGAGACCGGGGGAGAUCAGAGGUACUUGCGGGGGAGCGGUGAAAUGUUGUAAUCCCGCAGGGACCACCAGUGGCGAAGGCGUCUGAUCAGAACGGCUCUGACGGUGAGGAACGAAACCCUGGGGCGCAAACGGGAUUAGAUACCCCGGUAGUCCAGGGCGUAAACGCUGCUGACUUGGUGUUGGGGAUCCUACGAGGAUGUCCAGUGCUGGCGCGAAGGUAUUAAGUCAGCCGCCUGGGGAGUACGGUCGCAAGACUGAAACUUAAAGGAAUUGGCGGGGGAGCACUGCAACGUGUGGAGCGUGCGGUUUAAUUGGACUCAACGCCGGAA
Molecule: ribosomal RNA, 918 nt
Filed under: uncultured marine group III euryarchaeote
Lineage: Archaea; Methanobacteriati; Thermoplasmatota; Thermoplasmata; Candidatus Thermoprofundales
Description: bacterial SSU rRNA
Rfam family: Archaeal small subunit ribosomal RNA
Source: RNAcentral